CCUACGGGAGGCAGCAGUCGGGAAUCUUGGGCAAUGGGCGAAAGCCUGACCCAGCAACACCGUGUGGGUGAUGAAGGCCUUCGGGUCGUAAAGCCCUGUUGAUAGGGACGAAGGGCGAAGGGUUAAUAGCCCCUAGCUUGACGGUACCUUUCGAGGAAGCCCCGGCUAACUACGUGCCAGCAGCCGCGGUAAUACGUAGGGGGCGAGCGUUGUCCGGAAUUAUUGGGCGUAAAGAGCGUGUAGGCGGUUCGGUAAGUCUGUCGUGAAAUCCUGGGGCUCAACCUCGGGCGUGCGAUGGAUACUGCCGGGCUAGAGGGUGGUAGAGGCGAGUGGAAUUCCCGGUGUAGCGGUGAAAUGCGCAGAUAUCGGGAGGAACACCAGUAGCGAAGGCGGCUCGCUGGGCCACACCUGACGCUGAGACGCGAAAGCUAGGGGAGCGAACAGGAUUAGAUACCCUGGUAGUCCUAGCCGUAAACGAUGGACACUAGGUGUGGGGGGAGUCGAAUCCCUCUGUGCCGCAGCUAACGCGUUAAGUGUCCCGCCUGGGGAGUACGGCCGCAAGGCUAAAACUCAAAAGAAUUGACGGGGGCCCGCACAAGCAGCGGAGCAUGUUCUUUAAUUCGAUGCAACGCGAAGAACCUUACCUGGACUUGACAUGGUGCUGCAAGCGCACGGAAACGUGUGACCUUCGAGGGUGCACCACAGAUGCUGCAUGGCUGUCGUCAGCUCGUGUCGUGAGAUGUUGGGUUAAGUCCCGCAACGAGCGCAACCCCCGUGGCGUGUUGCCAGCAUUUAGUUGGGGACUCACGCCAGACUGCCGGUGACAAACCGGAGGAGGGUGGGGAUGAUGUCAAGUCAUCAUGGCUCUUACGCCCAGGGCUAGAAACGUGCUACAAUGGCGCAUACAAAGGGCAGCAAGACCGCAAGUGGAGCGAAUCUCAUCAAAAUGCGUCUAAGUUCGGAUCGGUCUGCAACUCGACCCCGUGAAGGCGGAGUUGCUAGUAAUCGCCGAUCAGCAUGCCGCGGUGAAUACGUU
RNAcentral lists this ribosomal RNA (1036 nucleotides) under uncultured bacterium. RNAcentral describes it as "bacterial SSU rRNA". It matches the Rfam family "Bacterial small subunit ribosomal RNA", at positions 338 to 1372 of the family's 1533-position model. The record is from RNAcentral.